CAAUAGCGUAUAUUAAAGUUGUUGCAGUUAAAAAGCUCGUAGUUGGAUUUGUGGCGUACGGUGUGUUCCGGGCACUUGUUGUCUGAGUAACCUGCUGUUGCCAUCCUUGGGUGGAACCUGUGUGGCAUUAGGUUGUCGUGCAGGGGAUGCCCAUCAUUUACUGUGAAAAAAUUAGAGUGUUCAAAGCAGGCUUAUGCCGUUGAAUAUAUUAGCAUGGAAUAAUGAGAUAGGACCUGGGUACUAUUUUGUUGGUUUGCGCACCGAGGUAAUGAUUAAUAGGGACAGUUGGGGGUAUUCGUAUUCCAUUGUCAGAGGUGAAAUUCUUGGAUUUUUGGAAGACGAACUACUGCGAAAGCAUUUACCAAGGAUGUUUUCAUUAA
RNAcentral lists this ribosomal RNA (380 nucleotides) under uncultured eukaryote. RNAcentral's name for it is "partial 18S ribosomal RNA". It matches the Rfam family "Eukaryotic small subunit ribosomal RNA", at positions 592 to 976 of the family's 1831-position model. The record is from RNAcentral.